This 867-nucleotide ribosomal RNA is filed under the name uncultured Campylobacterota bacterium. RNAcentral describes it as "bacterial SSU rRNA". It matches the Rfam family "Bacterial small subunit ribosomal RNA", at positions 28 to 915 of the family's 1533-position model. Lineage: Bacteria; Pseudomonadati; Campylobacterota. The record is from RNAcentral.
AAUGAACGCUGGCGGCGUGCUUAACACAUGCAAGUCGAACGAUGAAACCUAGCUUGCUAGGUGGAUUAGUGGCGCACGGGUGAGUAAUAUAUAGAUAAUGUACCUCUUAGUCUGGGAUAGCCAUUGGAAACGAUGAUUAAUACUAGAUACUCCUUCUUAAUAUAAUUUAAGUCGGGAAAGUUUUUCGCUAAGAGAUCAGUCUAUAUCCCAUCAGUUAGUUGGUAGGGUAAUGGCCUACCAAGGCAAUGACGGGUAGCGGGUUUGAGAGGAUGAUCCGCCACACUGGUACUGAGACACGGACCAGACUCCUACGGGAGGCAGCAGUGAGGAAUAUUGCACAAUGGAGGAAACUCUGAUGCAGCAACGCCGCGUGGAGGAUGACGCAUUUCGGUGUGUAAACUCCUUUUAUCAAGGAAGAAAAUGACGGUACUUGAUGAAUAAGCACCGGCUAACUCCGUGCCAGCAGCCGCGGUAAUACGGAGGGUGCAAGCGUUAUUCGGAAUCACUGGGCGUAAAGGACGCGUAGGCGGGAAGCCAAGUCUGAUGUGAAAUCCUAUGGCUUAACCAUAGAACUGCAUUGGAAACUGGUUACCUAGAGUAUGGGAGGGGGAGAUGGAAUUAGUGGUGUAGGGGUAAAAUCCGUAGAUAUCACUAGGAAUACCUAAAGCGAAGGCGAUCUCCUGGAACAAUACUGACGCUAAGGCGUGAAAGCGUGGGGAGCAAACGGGAUUAGAUACCCCGGUAGUCCACGCCCUAAACGAUGUUCACUAGUCGUCGGGAUGCUAGUCAUCUCGGUGAUGCACUUAACAGAUUAAGUGAACCGCCUGGGGAGUACGGUCGCAAGAUUAAAACUCAAAGGAAUAGACG